This is a long non-coding RNA of Felis catus (domestic cat), 1216 nucleotides long. RefSeq lists it as uncharacterized. The record is from RefSeq and is a predicted model, not a curated record. Lineage: Eukaryota; Metazoa; Chordata; Mammalia; Carnivora; Felidae. The transcript is spliced from 5 exons.
GCCAUCACGCGUGUGUGUGACUCAGGCGGGACCAGAGUGGUUAGAGCCCCAGGAUCCUGCUGCCCGAGACUCACCCGCCCCAGACAGUCUGGCCGAACACCUGUCUGCUGCCCACACCUGGCUCCUGUCAGGCGGGUGAGGGCUCCCCGCCCCUGCCCUCAGUCUCCCGGGAAGGUGACCCCACCCGAGCAGCCAUAAAGCCCACCGAUGCCUCAUUACUUCCCUUAACGGCCAAAAGAUUCCGACUUCCGGCACGCGACGCUCGUGGAAGCCCUCGCUGGGGUCCUCGUGGCGAGAGAAGGGCCGGACGCACUGAAAACCAGCAGAUCCCAGAUCCGCCAGAGAGGAGAGGUCACGGGGCGAACCGCUGCCCCGAAACGGAGAGCGAGGCCGGCAGACGCACACUCUCGUGGCUGGAGCAGAACCUGCCAGCGGGAACCUCCCCGGCGCUGGUGCAGGCGGACGAACGGGGCUCCUCCCGGCCGGCUGGGGCUAGAGCUGGGGCACCCACGCCGGAAACGCUCUGUCCAUUUCCCAUAAAUGGCUAAAAUAGGGAAGACUGUUUACCUGCCUGCCGGAAGGAACACACGAUAACUACUCGGUUGUUGACAAGUCGCUUUAGCAUCCCUUACAUCGUCGCUACACGAGCACCACGUGACUUAACGGAGUUUAGGUGUGUGAGCGCCACGUGUUAAAGGAUCGUGGGUACGCGCACGCCACGUGACUUAACGGCGGAUUUGGGGCUCCAGAUGGGCCACGUUUCCCAGGAUGACGGCCAAGUACAUUCAGUGACUCGUGUGGUCACUACAGUUUGAGGACAACAUGUGCGAGAAGACCUUCCCUGGCCCCUGCCCAGGACUUCUUAAUCCGGGCCUGCCCAGCUGCCAGCUUGUUUCGUUUCCUGAAUUUCCUGGGAGCAUCUUUCACAAAUUCUCUCGUUGUUUGUUUACCUGGGAAGGUCUUUCUUUUCCCUCACUUUUGAAGAGCCACAAGAGCAUCUUCCUCAGACCUUCGUGAGGAGAUCUCAGGGCUCCUGGAAAUAAAGCCCCUCCUCCCCCGGCUCCCAGAAGCCCAGCGAGGCACCGCCCACCAGUUCCUGCCAGUUUACGGCUCCAGCAGCUUCUCCAGGCAGACCCACCCUGCCCGCCCUGGCUUCCCAGACCUGCUGUCCCUCAAGAUUUCAGAGCGCUGGCUCGCCCUGCACGCUGGGCUCUCG